RNAcentral lists this ribosomal RNA (253 nucleotides) under uncultured bacterium. RNAcentral's name for it is "partial 16S ribosomal RNA". It matches the Rfam family "Bacterial small subunit ribosomal RNA", at positions 524 to 776 of the family's 1533-position model. The record is from RNAcentral.
UACGUAGGGGGCUAGCGUUGAUCGGAAUCACUGGGCGUAAAGCGCACGUAGGCGGAUUGCUAAGUCAGGGGUGAAAUCCUGGAGCUCAACUCCAGAACUGCCUUUGAUACUGGCGACCUUGAGUCCGGGAGAGGUGAGUGGAACUGCGAGUGUAGAGGUGAAAUUCGUAGAUAUUCGCAAGAACACCAGUGGCGAAGGCGGCUCACUGGCCCGGUACUGACGCUGAGGUGCGAAAGCGUGGGGAGCAAACAGG